CUACGUGCCAGCAGCCGCGGUAAUACGUAGGUGGCAAGCGUUGUCCGGAAUUAUUGGGCGUAAAGCGCGCGCAGGCGGAUUGGUCAGUCUGUCUUAAAAGUUCGGGGCUUAACCCCGUGAUGGGAUGGAAACUGCCAAUCUAGAGUAUCGGAGAGGAAAGUGGAAUUCCUAGUGUAGCGGUGAAAUGCGUAGAUAUUAGGAAGAACACCAGUGGCGAAGGCGACUUUCUGGACGAAAACUGACGCUGAGGCGCGAAAGCGUGGGGAGCAAACAGGAUUAGAUACCCUGGUAGUCCACGCCCUAAACGAUGUCGAUUAGCUGUUGGGCAGCAUGACUGCUUAGUAGCGAAGCUAACGCGUGAAAUCGACCGCCUGGGGAGUACGGUCGCAAGAUUAAAACUCAAAGGAAUUGACGGGGACCCGCACAAGCGGUGGAUGAUGUGGAUUAAUUCGAUGCAACGCGAAGAACCUUACCUGGUCUUGACAU
This 486-nucleotide ribosomal RNA is filed under the name uncultured bacterium. RNAcentral's name for it is "bacterial SSU rRNA". It matches the Rfam family "Bacterial small subunit ribosomal RNA", at positions 501 to 987 of the family's 1533-position model. The record is from RNAcentral.